Long non-coding RNA from Nanorana parkeri, 367 nucleotides. RefSeq lists it as uncharacterized. NCBI's taxonomy places the organism in Eukaryota, Metazoa, Chordata, Amphibia, Anura, Dicroglossidae. The record is from RefSeq and is a predicted model, not a curated record. The transcript is spliced from 3 exons.
ACAUGUCCAUAGAAGUAUAUUUUUCAUACUUUAAUAAAUACAAUAUAAUUAACUCAUAACAUUUGCUUUUCUUACAGGCCCUGUUUGAAAUAAUAUUGGCUGGUUUAUUGAUUAUACAGUAAAAACAGGUAAUAGCAAAAUUCUAUUCACAUGAUUAGAAUAUGAUUACUUAUGUAUGCUGCCAAGCUUUAAUGCUGCAGUAUAUGUGUGGAAAAUACACCUCUUUAAAUUGCACAGAAGACGCCAUUAUAUUGAUUUAAAAACAUGGCGCAAGUACUUUCAUGUGCUGCAAUUUAGUCUGCCUUAUUCAACAAGGCAAAGAGCAACACACAUUAACCCAGAGCUACCAAUGAGAGUGAUUUCCCUG